GAUGAACGCUGGCGGCGUGCCUAAUACAUGCAAGUAGAACGCUGACGGAGGAGCUUGCUCUUCUGGAUGAGUUGCGAACGGGUGAGUAACGCGUAGGUAACCUGCCUGGUAGCGGGGGAUAACUAUUGGAAACGAUAGCUAAUACCGCAUGACAACAGUUAUUGCAUGAUAACUGUUUAAAAGGGGCAACUGCUCCACUACCAGAUGGACCUGCGUUGUAUUAGCUAGUUGGUGAGGUAACGGCUCACCAAGGCGACGAUACAUAGCCGACCUGAGAGGGUGAUCGGCCACACUGGGACUGAGACACGGCCCAGACUCCUACGGGAGGCAGCAGUAGGGAAUCUUCGGCAAUGGACGGAAGUCUGACCGAGCAACGCCGGGGGAGUGAAGAAGGGUUUCGGAUCGGAAAGCUCUGUUGUAAGAGAAGAACGAGUGUGAGAGUGGAAAGUUCACACUGUGACGGUAUCUGACCAGAAAGGGACGGCUAACUACGUG
This 495-nucleotide ribosomal RNA is filed under the name uncultured bacterium. RNAcentral's name for it is "partial 16S ribosomal RNA". It matches the Rfam family "Bacterial small subunit ribosomal RNA", at positions 28 to 507 of the family's 1533-position model. The record is from RNAcentral.